GUGAGGAAUAUUGGUCAAUGGGCGGGAGCCUGAACCAGCCAAGUCGCGUGAAGGAAGAAGGAUCUAUGGUUCGUAAACUUCUUUUGCAGGGGAAUAAAGUGCAGGACGUGUCCUGUUUUGUAUGUACCCUGAGAAUAAGGAUCGGCUAACUCCGUGCCAGCAGCCGCGGUAAUACGGAGGAUCCGAGCGUUAUCCGGAUUUAUUGGGUUUAAAGGGUGCGUAGGUGGUUUGAUAAGUCAGCGGUGAAAGUUUGCAGCUUAACUGUAAAAAUGCCGUUGAAACUGUCGGACUUGAGUGUAAAUGAGGUAGGCGGAAUGCGUGGUGUAGCGGUGAAAUACAUAGAUAUCACGCAGAACUCCGAUUGCGAAGGCAGCUUACUAAGCUACAACUGACACUGAAGCACGAAAGCGUGGGGAUCAAACAGGAUUAGAAACCCCUGUAGUCC
RNAcentral lists this ribosomal RNA (445 nucleotides) under uncultured bacterium. RNAcentral describes it as "partial 16S ribosomal RNA". It matches the Rfam family "Bacterial small subunit ribosomal RNA", at positions 354 to 796 of the family's 1533-position model. The record is from RNAcentral.